GUCCUGGUAGUUAAAUGGAUAUAACAGACCCCUCCUAAGGGUCAGUUGUGGGUUCGAUUCCCGCCCGGGAUACCA
This 75-nucleotide transfer RNA is filed under the name Christensenellaceae bacterium. Its description in RNAcentral is "tRNA-Arg". It matches the Rfam family "tRNA". From Rfam's summary of the family: Transfer RNA (tRNA) molecules are approximately 80 nucleotides in length. Their secondary structure includes four short double-helical elements and three loops (D, anti-codon, and T loops). Lineage: Bacteria; Bacillati; Bacillota; Clostridia; Christensenellales; Christensenellaceae. The record is from RNAcentral.